GAUGAACGCUAGCUACAGGCUUAACACAUGCAAGUCGAGGGGCAGCAUGGUCUUAGCUUGCUAAGGCCGAUGGCGACCGGCGCACGGGUGAGUAACGCGUAUCCAACCUGCCUUACACUCUUGGACAGCCUUCUGAAAGGGAGAUUAAUACAAGAUGUUAUCAUGAGUAAGCAUUUUCGCAUGAUUAAAGGUUUACCGGUGUAAGAUGGGGAUGCGUUCCAUUAGAUAGUAGGCGGGGUAACGGCCCACCUAGUCUUCGAUGGAUAGGGGUUCUGAGAGGAAGGUCCCCCACAUUGGAACUGAGACACGGUCCAAACUCCUGCGGGAGGCAGCAGUGAGGAAUAUUGGUCAAUGGACGAGAGUCUGAACCAGCCAAGUAGCGUGAAGGAUGAAGGUUCUAUGGAUUGUAAACUUCUUUUAUACGGGAAUAAACGAAUCCACGCGUGGAUUUUUGCAUGUACCGUAUGAAUAAGGAUCGGCUAACUCCGUGCCAGCAGCCGCGGUAGUACGGAGGAUCCGAGCGUUAUCCGGAUUUAUUGGGUUUAAAGGGAGCGUAGAUGGGUUGUUAAGUCAGUUGUGAAAGUUUGCGGCUCAACCGUAAAAUUGCAAUUGAUACUGGCAGUCUUGAGUACAGUUGAGGUAGGCGGAAUUCGUGGUGUAGCGGUGAAAUGCUUAGAUAUCACGAAGAACUCCGAUUGCGAAGGCAGCUUACUAACCUGUAACUGACAUUGAUGCUCGAAAGUGUGGGUAUCAAACAGGAUUAGAUACCCUGGUAGUCCACACGGUAAACGAUGAAUACUCGCUGUAGGCGAUAUACAGUCUGCGGCCAAGCGAAAGCAUUAAGUAUUCCACCUGGGGAGUACGCCGGCAACGGUGAAACUCAAAGGAAUUGACGGGGGCCCGCACAAGCGGAGGAACAUGUGGUUUAAUUCGAUGAUACGCGAGGAACCUUACCCGGGCUUAAAUUGCAACCGAAUAUGGCGGAAACGCUAUAGCUAGCAAUAGCGGUUGUGAAGGUGCUGCAUGGUUGUCGUCAGCUCGUGCCGUGAGGUGUCGGCUUAAGUGCCAUAACGAGCGCAACCCUUGCCGAUAGUUACUAACAGGUUAUGCUGAGGACUCUGUCGGGACUGCCAUCGUAAGAUGUGAGGAAGGUGGGGAUGACGUCAAAUCAGCACGGCCCUUACGUCCGGGGCCACACACGUGUUACAAUGGGGGGUACAGAGGGCUGCUACCACGCAAGUGGAUGCCAAUCCCAAAAACCUCUCUCAGUUCGGAUUGAAGUCUGCAACCCGACUUCAUGAAGCUGGAUUCGCUAGUAAUCGCGCAUCAGCCACGGCGCGGUGAAUACGUUCCCGGGCCUUGUACACACCGCCCGUCAAGCCAUGGGAGCCGGGGGCACCUGAAGUGCGUAACCGCAAGGAGCGCCCUAGGGUAAAACUG
RNAcentral lists this ribosomal RNA (1440 nucleotides) under uncultured organism. RNAcentral's name for it is "16S ribosomal RNA". It matches the Rfam family "Bacterial small subunit ribosomal RNA". The record is from RNAcentral.